RNAcentral lists this ribosomal RNA (371 nucleotides) under Endolimax nana. Its description in RNAcentral is "partial small subunit ribosomal RNA". It matches the Rfam family "Eukaryotic small subunit ribosomal RNA", at positions 808 to 1084 of the family's 1831-position model. The record is from RNAcentral. Lineage: Eukaryota; Evosea; Mastigamoebida; Endamoebidae.
ACGAGGACAGAGAAAUAGGCCUUAGGUGGCUGACCUUGGUGUGAGCGAGGACAUGGCGGAGAGACAGAAGCAUGAUUAGACAGACAAAGAAUAGGAACAAAGGGGGUGGUAGAUAUUUUCCUGAGAGAGGUGAAAUUCAAUGACCAGGAAAAGAUAGACGAGAGCGAAAGCAUUCCACAAAGAUGUUUUCAUAGAUCAAGAACGAAAGUUGGGGGAUCGAAGACGAUCAGAUACCGUCGUAGUCUCAACCAUAAACGAUGCCGACUAGGGAUUGGAUGGUGGUGUGUGAGUGGUUGUGGUGGUGAUGCAUGCCUUUGUGGUGUGUGUUGUUGGCAUGACUGCUGACCAAUCGAAAAGAAGCACAUGCCAGU